UUUCCGUAGGUGAACCUGCGGAAGGAUCAUUACCUGAAUAUGGGCUUCGGCCCUCGUUCUACCCUUGUCUACUGCACCUUUUGUCGUUCCCUCGGCGGGCCUCCCGCCGACGGGUACCCAAGAAACCCUUUGCAAUAAGCAUGUAAAUCUGAUACCAAUUGAAUAAUCACAACUUUCAACAAUGGAUCUCUUGGUUCUGGCAUCGAUGAAGAACGCAGC
RNAcentral lists this unclassified non-coding RNA (219 nucleotides) under uncultured fungus. RNAcentral describes it as "sequence contains ITS1, 5.8S rRNA gene". The stretch from base 171 to 219 matches the Rfam family "5.8S ribosomal RNA", at positions 1 to 49 of the family's 154-position model. The record is from RNAcentral. Lineage: Eukaryota; Fungi.